This 56-nucleotide transfer RNA is filed under the name Melanastera paucipunctata. RNAcentral describes it as "Diclidophlebia paucipunctata tRNA-Ser". The record is from RNAcentral. Lineage: Eukaryota; Metazoa; Arthropoda; Insecta; Hemiptera; Liviidae.
GAGUUUUAGAGAAAGCUGCUAACUAUCUCGAAGCAAAAAAAUUUGUUAAACUCCUU